GUUGUGGGAAAGGUGUGAUGUGUAGCGCUGAAAAUGCAGUAGGGAACUAGAGGAGGUGAGGGAUGAGUUCUGCAUGGGAGGAGGGGACAUUUAGCGAAGGUUUCAUAAAGGAGGUGACCUCUGAACUGGAUCUUGAAGGAUGAGCUGGGGGUGGGAUGCGCCUGGCGAAGGGGAUGCCUGGAAGCCUGCACAGGGCAAGGAUGUGCCAGAUCAGAGUUAUGAAUUUGGGACCUGUGACCAAGCAGGCCUUCAUUCCUCAGUCUCUGCAGGAUUGGGCUUUCCUGUUUUUGUCAUUCUUGGUUUAUGUCAUAGGCACA
RNAcentral lists this long non-coding RNA (317 nucleotides) under Ictidomys tridecemlineatus (thirteen-lined ground squirrel). Its description in RNAcentral is "lncRNA (ENSSTOG00000033617.1)". The record is from RNAcentral. Lineage: Eukaryota; Metazoa; Chordata; Mammalia; Rodentia; Sciuridae.